This 215-nucleotide ribosomal RNA is filed under the name uncultured fungus. Its description in RNAcentral is "partial small subunit ribosomal RNA". The stretch from base 91 to 215 matches the Rfam family "Eukaryotic small subunit ribosomal RNA", at positions 738 to 864 of the family's 1831-position model. Lineage: Eukaryota; Fungi. The record is from RNAcentral.
GAUCUGGUCAGGUGGUCUGCCUCCGGUACGUACUGCCUUGGUCGGGUCUUUCCUUCUGGUGACGCUUCAUGCCCUUAAUUGGGUGUGUCGAGGAUCCAGGACUUUUACUUUGAAAAAAUUAGAGUGUUUAAAGCAGGCUUAUGCUUGAAUAUAUUAGCAUGGAAUAAUAAAAUAGGACGUGUGGUUCUAUUUUGUUGGUUUCUAGGAUCGCCGUA